GCGCGAUUUACAACGCGAUGCAGGUGUUUCUUAUGAAGUGUGAGAACCGGGAAGUUCUUGUGCAUGAAGCAAGACUUUAAGUUUAAAGUCACAGUGGAGCCACUGAGCAGUGAGACUAAGCGUACUCGUCAGGCUUACAGCUGAAGACCAAACAUCUGUGGUGAAGUUCAUCGCGGAGUGGUUAUGAAGAAGCUCGUGAAUAUGAUCUGUCAUACGGUUGUAUAACUCCGAUAUGAAUCAGCUUUGGCAACCUUCUACUACAAAGAGAAGUCUGAAACAAAACAGAGCAGUCAUGAGUCGCGGGAAACGUUCCGGCCUGUGUCCAAUAAUUUGGUGGAAGAGUGGAUGUACUACAGACCACUAAAAACAGAACAUGUGACUAAGACGUGUGAGCAGGUAGAAGAGCUGAUGGGUUUCAUCCCUGUGAUACCACUGUGUGUGUGUAUGUGAUUGUGCC
Molecule: long non-coding RNA, 457 nt
Organism: Ictalurus punctatus (channel catfish)
Lineage: Eukaryota; Metazoa; Chordata; Actinopteri; Siluriformes; Ictaluridae
Source: Ensembl